Molecule: ribosomal RNA, 497 nt
Filed under: uncultured bacterium
Lineage: Bacteria
Description: partial 16S ribosomal RNA
Rfam family: Bacterial small subunit ribosomal RNA
Source: RNAcentral
GAUGAACGCUGGCGGCGUGCCUAAUACAUGCAAGUCGAGCGAACAGACGAGGAGCUUGCUCCUUUGACGUUAGCGGCGGACGGGUGAGUAACACGUGGAUAACCUACCUAUAAGACUGGGAUGACUUCGGGAAACCGGAGCUAAUACCGGAUAACAUGUUGAACCGCAUGGUUCAACAGUGAAAGACGGUCUUGCUGUCACUUAUAGAUGGAUCCGCGCCGCAUUAGCUAGUUGGUAAGGUAACGGCUUACCAAGGCAACGAUGCGUAGCCGACCUGAGAGGGUGAUCGGCCACACUGGAACUGAGACACGGUCCAGACUCCUACGGGAGGCAGCAGUAGGGAAUCUUCCGCAAUGGGCGAAAGCCUGACGGAGCAACGCCGCGUGAGUGAAGAAGGUCUUCGGAUCGUAAAACUCUGCUAUUAGGGAAGAACAAAUGUGUAAGUAACUAUGCACGUCUUGACGGUACCUAAUCAGAAAGCCACGGCUAACUACGUG